UUCAUGUAUGUUUGGUCCCUCAUUUGAGUCCGCCUGUGUAGGUUCGGACCCGAGGAACCGAGGACCCCAGCAGUGAGUCUGUUGCCCCAGUGUCUGGCCAGAGCUAUCCAGAGGUGAGUGGAAUAACCUACUACGUUUUAAAGCAAAUAAUGUACUUUUAGCAUGCUUCAUGCAUCAUGAAUGCCAUGUGAUGAAUUAGGUUGCUUGCAUUAGAAUUCACGAAUAUGUUGCAUUGC
RNAcentral lists this long non-coding RNA (236 nucleotides) under Manihot esculenta (cassava). Its description in RNAcentral is "long non-coding RNA (MESC_LNC011904)". The record is from RNAcentral. Lineage: Eukaryota; Viridiplantae; Streptophyta; Magnoliopsida; Malpighiales; Euphorbiaceae.